RNAcentral lists this long non-coding RNA (523 nucleotides) under Vombatus ursinus (common wombat). Its description in RNAcentral is "lncRNA (ENSVURG00010005529.1)". Lineage: Eukaryota; Metazoa; Chordata; Mammalia; Diprotodontia; Vombatidae. The record is from RNAcentral.
CUGCCCUCGAGGAGCUUACGUUUCAACGGGGAGGCAGCACGCACGCUACAUUCCUUUCAAAGUUCCCAUCAUAAAGUAUGACACAAGAGACCUCUUUCCCAGCUUGGUGGGAAACAAACCCUUGGUCAUCACUCUUCGAAAAAGGUCUCAGACCUUCCUCCCCACCACUGGUGACAUCAAGAAGGAUUUGACUCUGCCCAGCUUGUUCCAAGUGCCAGAAGCCUCCCAUCAGAGGGAGCAAACAUAUUCGAGUGAAAACUCAUCUGUCCUUGAUCUUCCCAUCACUGACCAAUACCCCCUCUGCCCAGACUGCAUGAGAAUGAAAGCUGAGAGAUGGAGACUCAAAGAAAAGCAGGACUCAAGAUAUCAAGGCCUCCGCCAUUUCAUAAAACCAACCAAAAAAAUGAUGAUUGUGAAUGCCCCAAGGCACCUACAACUUCCCCUCAUGGAUUUUAUGAAUGACAAGUAAGUUGAAGGCUUAUAAUGGGACAAUUAAUUCUGGUAACAUUGUGGUGAGAAAGAA